UACGUAGGGUGCAAGCGUUGUCCGGAAUUAUUGGGCGUAAAGAGCUCGUAGGCGGUUUGUCGCGUCGAAUGUGAAAACCCGGGGCUCAACCCCGGGCCUGCAUUCGAUACGGGCAGACUAGAGUUCGGUAGGGGAGUCUGGAAUUCCUGGUGUAGCGGUGAAAUGCGUAGAUAUCUGGAGGAACACCGGUGGCGAAGGCGGCGUCCUGGACCAACACUGACACUGAGGAGCGAAAGCCAGGGGAGCAAACGGG
This 253-nucleotide ribosomal RNA is filed under the name uncultured bacterium. RNAcentral describes it as "partial 16S ribosomal RNA". It matches the Rfam family "Bacterial small subunit ribosomal RNA", at positions 524 to 776 of the family's 1533-position model. The record is from RNAcentral.